AGGGCCGGGCGGGCGGCCGCCCUCGCGAGAGGGAGGAAAGUCCGGGCACCGAAGGGCAGGGCGCCGGGCAAUUCCCGGCACCGGUGACGGUGAGAAAGUGCCACAGAAAGGACACCGCCGCCCCCUGCGGGACGGCAAGGGUGAAAAGGUGGGGUAAGAGCCCACCGGGCCGCGGGCAACCGCGGUCGCAAGGCAAACCUCGCCCGGUGCAAGGCCAAAUAGGGAGGGAGUUCCGAGAGGAACGGGGGGUUGCCCGCUCCCCCACACCUCCGGGUCGGCCGCUGGAGGUCCGGGGUGACCCGGAUCCUAGAUGGAUGGCCGCCGCUCCGUUCCAUCGGGAGCGGAGUACAGAACCCGGCUUACAGCCCGGCCCCGCCG
This 378-nucleotide RNase P RNA is filed under the name Candidatus Fermentibacterota bacterium. Its description in RNAcentral is "RNase P RNA component class A". It matches the Rfam family "Bacterial RNase P class A". From Rfam's summary of the family: Ribonuclease P (RNase P) is a ubiquitous endoribonuclease, found in archaea, bacteria and eukarya as well as chloroplasts and mitochondria. Its best characterised activity is the generation of mature 5'-ends of tRNAs by cleaving the 5'-leader elements of precursor-tRNAs. Cellular RNase Ps are ribonucleoproteins. The record is from RNAcentral. Lineage: Bacteria; Pseudomonadati; Candidatus Fermentibacterota.